Molecule: long non-coding RNA, 1674 nt
Organism: Papaver somniferum (opium poppy)
Lineage: Eukaryota; Viridiplantae; Streptophyta; Magnoliopsida; Ranunculales; Papaveraceae
Exons: 3
Source: RefSeq, a predicted model, not a curated record
ACUCUCAUUCUCUUUUCUUCUUCAUUUUUCUUUCUUCUUCUCUUACAUUCUUCUUCUGUUUCUCUUCUUCUGCGAGUUUGAGAUAUUGAAUGGGAGCUUUGUCGUCGGUAAGAGAUGUAGAAGAUCAUGGAGUACUGUCAGUGAUGGUGUUCGUAUCUGUUGUUGAUUUAGACUCGAUGAAGAAGUGAAUUGGAAGUUAGGGUUUCCGAGUUUUGAUAAUUGAUUGAAGAUUUAUGAGAAACUGAGGAUGGAAUCGAGUAAUUAAGAGGGGUUUCUGGUUAAUUGAUGUGGUGUAGCUGUUUUGAUGAAGAAUCGAUGAACUAGGGUUUACAAGAGAUUCAGAAUAAGAGUUUGAAGAUGAAACUGGAAGUUUAUAGGGAAGAUUAGAAGAUUUGUUUGCUUGAGUUGAAGGUUUGCAUUGAUGUUGUGAAUUCGAAUUAGGGUAAAGAGGAUUGAGAAUCGUUUUAGGGUUUUACUGAAAAAAGUGAUGCUGGUGAUGGAGAUGAUUGGGUUUUGGUUAAACUGAAUUGGUAGAUGGUUACUUUCUUAAGAUGAAUUGUUGAAUCAAGUCAAGCAAGAAGAAGAGUUCGAUUUCAAUUGUCUUAUCUGAGAUGAACUACUUUGAGGUAAUUACUGAUUUAAGUUAACUUGGUGUUCAUUUUGAUUAUUGAGUGUGUGAUGCUAAUGGAGCUAAGAUUGGAAUGGAUAUGUGAAUCUGUGAUGGAAUUGUGGGUUUAGUUUAGGUAUGUCUAAUGAAUUACAGGCGAGGAUUAUUUGUUUGAGAUGUAGAAGUUGAUGUUCUGUGUUGGGUUAGUUGUGUGGGUAUGGUGUUACAGAUUUGAAGAUUUGUAGUACCGAAAAUGGUUUAAGUUAUUAUUAGUCUGAGCUGCAGGUGUUAGUGCUAAUUUGCUGGAUGGAGUUGAAAUCUCGGGGCUAAGAAGUACUGAGAGUAUGUGUUUGGAUGGUGGUGUUAGUUGUGAUUCUGGUGGAGCAACAGAGUCAAUUUGUGCUCGUGGAGCUAAUGAUAAUGAGGAUGCUAUACGACUGUUAAUGGAAGAAUUGUAGUGAUGCUGUGGAAGUUAAUGAAUAUGUUAUGAUGUUGAAGUUUAUGCUUUGGAGUAUGUUGAAUUGCAAGCAAGAGAAAUGGAAUUGCAAGAAUGUGAAGUAGAGGUGUUGUUGGCUGGUGCUGAGAUGGAGUUGCAGGUGAAGUUGGUUUGGUAUGUACAGGGUCUUGGAGAUGUUAAGGAGUUGAAUUGCAGAGUUGAGUAGUUACAGUUGGGGAAAUGUUUUGGUUGUUACAGAGGUUUGUAUUAGAAUGUAGUGAAACUGAAUGAAGAGAAGUUAGAUGGUUGAUUAGAGUGUAGAAGAGUCUAUGGAGUUGAAUCUCUCUUGUAGAAGCUGGGAACUGCUGAAUUGCAGUUAGUUAUUAACAACGACCGAUUCAAAGGAUGAACCAGUGGAUCGUGGAUCUCGAGGUAGGCGUGGCUUGUCAUCAAAAGAGUUUCAGAGACAGAUCAUAGUUGCGCAGCGGAAGCUUCGAGGAGUUGAAUUUAUUAGUUUGAUUAACUUCGGCUAUGUUAUUAUAUUGUAUGUUUUAUUUGUAAACCAAAUGACUAUUGUAUAUAUGUAUCAUCCGAGAGAAGUUAUUAUAUUUAUAUGUUUCUGAGCAGGGUU